AGUGAACGCUGGCGGUAAGCCUAACACAUGCAAGUCGAACGGCAGCACAGUAAGAGCUUGCUCUUACGGGUGGCGAGUGGCGGACGGGUGAGGAAUACAUCGGAAUCUACUUUUUCGUGGGGGAUAACGUAGGGAAACUUACGCUAAUACCGCAUACGACCUACGGGUGAAAGCAGGGGAUCUUCGGACCUUGCGCGAUUGAAUGAGCCGAUGUCGGAUUAGCUAGUUGGCGGGGUAAAGGCCCACCAAGGCGACGAUCCGUAGCUGGUCUGAGAGGAUGAUCAGCCACACUGGAACUGAGACACGGUCCAGACUCCUACGGGAGGCAGCAGUGGGGAAUAUUGGACAAUGGGCGAAAGCCUGAUCCAGCCAUACCGCGUGGGUGAAGAAGGCCUUCGGGUUGUAAAGCCCUUUUGUUGGGAAAGAAAAGCAGCAGGUUAAUACCCCGCUGUUCUGACGGUACCCAAAGAAUAAGCACCGGCUAACUUCGUG
RNAcentral lists this ribosomal RNA (492 nucleotides) under uncultured bacterium. RNAcentral describes it as "partial 16S ribosomal RNA". It matches the Rfam family "Bacterial small subunit ribosomal RNA", at positions 29 to 507 of the family's 1533-position model. The record is from RNAcentral.